UACGGAGGGGGCUAGCGUUGUUCGGAAUUACUGGGCGUAAAGCGCACGUAGGCGGACUGUUAAGUCGGGGGUGAAAUCCUGGGGCUCAACCUCAGAAUUGCCUCCGAUACUGGCAGUCUCGAGUGCGGGAGAGGUGAGUGGAAUUCCCAGUGUAGAGGUGAAAUUCGUAGAUAUUGGGAAGAACACCAGUGGCGAAGGCGGCUGCACUGGCC
This 212-nucleotide ribosomal RNA is filed under the name uncultured bacterium. RNAcentral's name for it is "partial 16S ribosomal RNA". It matches the Rfam family "Bacterial small subunit ribosomal RNA", at positions 524 to 734 of the family's 1533-position model. The record is from RNAcentral.